UGGGGAAUCUUGCGCAAUGGGCGAAAGCCUGACGCAGCCAUGCCGCGUGAAUGAUGAAGGUCUUAGGAUUGUAAAAUUCUUUCACCGGGGACGAUAAUGACGGUACCCGGAGAAGAAGCCCCGGCUAACUUCGUGCCAGCAGCCGCGGUAAUACGAAGGGGGCUAGCGUUGCUCGGAAUUACUGGGCGUAAAGGGCGCGUAGGCGGAUCGUUAAGUCAGAGGUGAAAUCCCAGGGCUCAACCCUGGAACUGCCUUUGAUACUGGCGAUCUUGAGUAUGAGAGAGGUAUGUGGAACUCCGAGUGUAGAGGUGAAAUUCGUAGAUAUUCGGAAGGACACCAGUGGCGAAGGCGACAUACUGGCUCAUUACUGACGCUGAGGCGCGAAAGCGUGGGGAGCAAACAGG
This 404-nucleotide ribosomal RNA is filed under the name bacterium. RNAcentral describes it as "partial 16S ribosomal RNA". It matches the Rfam family "Bacterial small subunit ribosomal RNA", at positions 355 to 776 of the family's 1533-position model. The record is from RNAcentral.